UUCAAAUGUAUAUAACGUCCGCGAUGCUCUGACACUGUGUGAGGCUUUUCCCUCACAGGGACAAAUAGCUGAAGGUAACCAUUUCAAAGAGGAAAGAUUCCGGUUUGCUCAGUGGCAGAGAACUUAGCUCUGUCAUCCUUGACAGCAUUGCUUUAGGGUCUGUGGUGAGUCAAAGUGUCAAGUAUGUGUUUCUCUUCAGAAUACAAGGAGUGUAUGGGAAGUAAACCAAAUACAUUUUGGAGAUAUCAAGUGUCCUGUUGAUACUGAUAAAACAAUACUGGGGAGAGGAUUUUUGACGGAAGAAAAGGAGGAUCUUUGGGGAAUACUAAAAAACACCAGUCAAUCAGACCAACAGUGAGGAGGGACAAAUGACACUUUCCUUCAAUCACACUGAGAAAUCUCUCCUUCAUUUGUAUUUUGAUGCCCGGAAGAAUCAUGGGUGCUUCUCGGAUCUAUUAACUAAUCUCAGAAAGCCAAGGAAAAUGAACUAUAUGAUGGCUGAGGUUGACAAAAGCAACUUUAAGUCACCAAGAGGCAAAAUGCCAAGUGGCACAUGAGGAACAACCAGCUCCUUGCCAGAGGUGGAAACCGUCCAAAGGAUAAUAUAAUUUUUCCAGUGAAGCAGAGUUCGUGCUAGAGAACCAACUCAACAUUUACCUAGACAGCUGAUGUCACCUCCACCCAGUCACGUUAGUCUUCACCAAAGGAAGAGAAAGACAUUGUAUUGUUCAAUAAAAAAAUAAAGUAAAAACGAUAUGUACUGCUUUUUGAGUUUCUGGGCCCAGAAACCCAGGCAGGUGAUUUUAAGUUCUCUCAGAGGUAUCUCACCAUAGAGAAUAUGACAACUGCUCCAGAGAAGAAUCCAGUGAGGGACCUGUUUAGUUCUGGAGUAGCCUGCUUUACCUGCCAGUUUCUGGCACUGUAUGAAGCCUAAGGACAUGAGUAGAUCUUCACUUCCUACCAUUUCCAAAUAUUUCCCUAUAAAUGUGUGAACGCAGCUCUUGACGUAGGGUGCAGAAAGGGUAGUUUACAAUGUGGAAUUGCAUUAACUUGGACAUUUGGUGCAUAUAGACCUCUGUUGGCAUGUGGCUACCAUCUAUCCAGAGAAUUUGUAUGAGUUCAAUAUGUAGGAUGUCAAUUUUGUCUUGGGCAAGCGUCAUGACUAUGUUACUUUAGCUGAGAGACCAGCGCUGUGCAAACAGAUUCUUUUAUAUUGCAUUUCUCUAGCUCUGUAAGAAAAAAAGUUUCUAUAAGUAGUUAGACUUCAAGUUUCUGGUUCCCAAAAGUACCAGUUAACUAUGAACAGCAAUAACUUCUUUCCUUUAUUAGUAUUAUGGUUGUUUUGUUAUUAUUAAGUAGGACACAUUACAACUUUUUUUUAAUUUGGCAGAAGUGGUGAUUUAUUAAAAUAGUCUAGAAAGAACUCAAGAGUUUGGUUGAAGUAUCUGUUCACCCUGUAGGAGUUCAGUUUGACAUACACCAUAGUUCCAUUAGACUGUUAAAAUUUUGGCUUUCUCUUUUGUCACAAUACUUAUGAUUAACAUAACCAUCUACUAUGAUAGCUUAAAAGAAUAUAUCUAUUAUUUUUACAAGAAGAACUGGCUUUUAUGACUCAAAUGCAGCUUCCACAGAAUAUGUUGUUCAUUACAAUUCUUUUUCCUCAGCUGAUUUUUGUUCCAUUUGUUCAUGUUGGUUUCUUCCUUGCUUAAGUUGCAAAGCACUCUUUCAGGGAAGAGCCCCUGGCAUAAUUCCAUUGGACACAAUUAUUUGUUCACAGGAAAAAAAAACACUAAUUUACAUUUAUAUCAACAUUAUAUUAAUGGCAAAACUAGAGUUCAG
This 1839-nucleotide small RNA is filed under the name Rattus norvegicus (Norway rat). RNAcentral describes it as "uncharacterized LOC102551374". The record is from RNAcentral. Lineage: Eukaryota; Metazoa; Chordata; Mammalia; Rodentia; Muridae.